Molecule: non-coding RNA, 687 nt
Organism: Callithrix jacchus (white-tufted-ear marmoset)
Lineage: Eukaryota; Metazoa; Chordata; Mammalia; Primates; Cebidae
Source: RefSeq, a predicted model, not a curated record
GUUUAAAUCAACAGGACUCUUAUUGUCAAGGUAACUCCACGGUAACUCUAUUAAGUGAAUCCAAAACACUUACCUUGUACUAAACUCCUCUUUUUUUUUUUUCUAAAGAGAAUUGCACACACAUAAUAACACCAAGGUAGGUCGAUUCAAAAUGAAAGGAACAUAAGGCAAAUCAGUAGGUUUGCCUCAGAAACCUAUAUGUAUCCGUACAGUGAGAGUUUUCUAAAGAUACGCAUAAACACGCACUACAUUGGAAAAACAGUCUGGCAAAGGAACAAGGAAAAGAAAGGUAAGAAUAGGAUGUCUGGUUUUGCUUGUCCAGGAAAGAAAAGAUACUGCAAUCUACCUUGUUUAGAUGCCCUUCUUCGAAUCUUCAUUUUGGGAAAGGAAGGCCACGAGUAGUUAAAAGAGGCAGCACGGAGAGUGGAUGUGAGGGGGCCUGGAUGUGGAAGAAGAAAGAAUAACAGCCCCAAGUCUGAAGAGAGGAGGGAUGCAGGGAUAGGGAAGUGCCUGGUGUACCCCAAGGAGAAGAAAUCCCUCCUAGAAGGAAGAACCCACGAACUUCAGGAGAGCAGCAUCUAACUGAUAAUCUUCCAUUCCAAUUUUCCCAAACAACAUCUUGCAUGCCAUAGACUUGUUCACAGACUUAUUUUUAUCAAUUUUGAUAUUAAAGUUUAACUGACUAUA